Molecule: unclassified non-coding RNA, 245 nt
Filed under: Schizothecium sp.
Lineage: Eukaryota; Fungi; Ascomycota; Sordariomycetes; Sordariales; Schizotheciaceae
Description: partial internal transcribed spacer region
Rfam family: Eukaryotic small subunit ribosomal RNA (bases 1-46)
Source: RNAcentral
AAGUCGUAACAAGGUCUCCGUUGGUGAACCAGCGGAGGGAUCAUUACAGAGUUGCAAAACUCCCAACCAUUGUGAACCUACCUCACCGUUGCUUCGGCGGAUGGCCCGGGGCAACCCGCGCCGCGCCGGCUCCUCUAGAGAAGCCCGGCAAAUCCGUCAGAAGACCGAAACUCUGAACUAUUUAGGCCUCUCUGAGUAACUUAUACAAUAAGUCAAAACUUUCAACAACGGAUCUCUUGGUUCUG